GCUUGCACCUCUUGAGAGCGGCGGACGGGUGAGUAAUGCCUAGGAAUCUGCCUGGUAGUGGGGGAUAACGUUCGGAAACGGACGCUAAUACCGCAUACGUCCUACGGGAGAAAGCAGGGGACCUUCGGGCCUUGCGCUAUCAGAUGAGCCUAGGUCGGAUUAGCUAGUUGGUGAGGUAAUGGCUCACCAAGGCGACGAUCCGUAACUGGUCUGAGAGGAUGAUCAGUCACACUGGAACUGAGACACGGUCCAGACUCCUACGGGAGGCAGCAGUGGGGAAUAUUGGACAAUGGGCGAAAGCCUGAUCCAGCCAUGCCGCGUGUGUGAAGAAGGUCUUCGGAUUGUAAAGCACUUUAAGUUGGGAGGAAGGGUACUUACCUAAUACGUGAGUAUUUUGACGUUACCGACAGAAUAAGCACCGGCUAACUCUGUGCCAGCAGCCGCGGUAAUACAGAGGGUGCAAGCGUUAAUCGGAAUUACUGGGCGUAAAGCGCGCGUAGGUGGUUCGUUAAGUUGGAUGUGAAAUCCCCGGGCUCAACCUGGGAACUGCAUCCAAAACUGGCGAGCUAAAGUAUGGGAGAGGGUGG
Molecule: ribosomal RNA, 587 nt
Filed under: Pseudomonas sp.
Lineage: Bacteria; Pseudomonadati; Pseudomonadota; Gammaproteobacteria; Pseudomonadales; Pseudomonadaceae
Description: bacterial SSU rRNA
Rfam family: Bacterial small subunit ribosomal RNA
Source: RNAcentral